Molecule: small nuclear RNA, 107 nt
Organism: Cricetulus griseus (Chinese hamster)
Lineage: Eukaryota; Metazoa; Chordata; Mammalia; Rodentia; Cricetidae
Source: Ensembl
AUGCUCGAUUCAGCAGCACAUAUACUAAAAUUGGAACGAUACAGAGAAUAUUAGCAUGGCCCCUGAGCAAGGAUGACAUGUAAAUUUGUGAAUCGUGGGCUGGAGAG